This 732-nucleotide ribosomal RNA is filed under the name Streptomyces sp. INBio2574E. Its description in RNAcentral is "bacterial SSU rRNA". It matches the Rfam family "Bacterial small subunit ribosomal RNA", at positions 52 to 798 of the family's 1533-position model. The record is from RNAcentral. Lineage: Bacteria; Bacillati; Actinomycetota; Actinomycetes; Kitasatosporales; Streptomycetaceae.
AACAUGCAAGUCGAACGAUGAACCGCUUUCUGGCGGGGAUUAGUGGCGAACGGGGUGAGUAACACGUUGGGCAAUCUGCCCUGCACUCUGGGACAAGCCCUGGAAACGGGGUCUAAUACCGGAUAUGACUGUCCAUCGCAUGGUGGAUGGUGUAAAGCUCCGGCGGUGCAGGAUGAGCCCGCGGCCUAUCAGCUUGUUGGUGAGGUAGUGGCUCACCAAGGCGACGACGGGUAGCCGGCCUGAGAGGGCGACCGGCCACACUGGGACUGAGACACGGCCCAGACUCCUACGGGAGGCAGCAGUGGGGAAUAUUGCACAAUGGGCGAAAGCCUGAUGCAGCGACGCCGCGUGAGGGAUGACGGCCUUCGGGUUGUAAACCUCUUUCAGCAGGGAAGAAGCGAAAGUGACGGUACCUGCAGAAGAAGCGCCGGCUAACUACGUGCCAGCAGCCGCGGUAAUACGUAGGGCGCAAGCGUUGUCCGGAAUUAUUGGGCGUAAAGAGCUCGUAGGCGGCUUGUCAAGUCGGUUGUGAAAGCCCGGGGCUUAACCCCGGGUCUGCAGUCGAUACUGGCAGGCUAGAGUUCGGUAGGGGAGAUCGGAAUUCCUGGUGUAGCGGUGAAAUGCGCAGAUAUCAGGAGGAACACCGGUGGCGAAGGCGGAUCUCUGGGCCGAUACUGACGCUGAGAGCGAAACCGUGGGGAGCGAACAGGAUUAAAUACCCUGGUAGUCCAC